Molecule: transfer RNA, 74 nt
Filed under: Stegodyphus mimosarum
Lineage: Eukaryota; Metazoa; Arthropoda; Arachnida; Araneae; Eresidae
Rfam family: tRNA
About the family: Transfer RNA (tRNA) molecules are approximately 80 nucleotides in length. Their secondary structure includes four short double-helical elements and three loops (D, anti-codon, and T loops).
Source: Rfam by way of RNAcentral
GCCGUGGUCAUGUAACUGGAAGCACGGUUGAUUGGCAAUCGGAAGGAUCCGCAGUUCGAAUCUCGACCACGGCA